Molecule: ribosomal RNA, 119 nt
Organism: Cavia porcellus (domestic guinea pig)
Lineage: Eukaryota; Metazoa; Chordata; Mammalia; Rodentia; Caviidae
Source: Ensembl
UGCUACAGCCAUGCUACCCUGAAUGCGCCCGAUCUCGUCUGAUCUUGGAAGCUAAGAAGGGUCGGGCUUGGUUAGUAUUUGGAUGGGAGAUCGCCUGGGAAUACCGGGUGCUAUAGGCU